GACGAACGCUGGCGGCGUGCUUAACACAUGCCAGUCGAACGGAAAGGCCCUGCUUUUGUGGGGUGCUCGAGUGGCGAACGGGUGAGUAACACGUGAGUAACCUGCCCUUGACUUUGGGAUAACUUCAGGAAACUGGGGCUAAUAACGGAUAGGAGCUCCUGCUGCAUGGUGGGGGUUGGAAAGUUUCGGCGGUUGGGGAUGGACUCGCGGCUUAUCAGCUUGUUGGUGGGGUAGUGGCUUACCAAGGCUUUGACGGGUAGCCGGCCUGAGAGGGUGACCGGCCACAUUGGGACUGAGAGACGGCCCAGACUCCUACGGGAGGCAGCAGUGGGAAAUAUUGCACAAUGGGCGGAAGCCUGAUGCAGCAACGCCGCGUGCGGGAUGACGGCCUUCGGGUUGUAAACCGCUUUCGCCUGUGACGAAGCGGGAGUGACGGUAAUGGGUAAAGAAGCACCGGCUAACUACGUG
This 468-nucleotide ribosomal RNA is filed under the name uncultured bacterium. Its description in RNAcentral is "partial 16S ribosomal RNA". It matches the Rfam family "Bacterial small subunit ribosomal RNA", at positions 28 to 507 of the family's 1533-position model. The record is from RNAcentral.